This 253-nucleotide ribosomal RNA is filed under the name uncultured bacterium. RNAcentral's name for it is "partial 16S ribosomal RNA". It matches the Rfam family "Bacterial small subunit ribosomal RNA", at positions 524 to 776 of the family's 1533-position model. The record is from RNAcentral.
UACGUAGGGGGCAAGCGUUGUCCGGAUUUAUUGGGCGUAAAGAGCGUGUAGGCGGCCGUACAGGUCAGCUGUGAAAACUCGAGGCUCAACCUCGAGACGUCGGUUGAAACCGUACGGCUAGAGUCCGGAAGAGGAGAGUGGAAUUCCCAGUGUAGCGGUGAAAUGCGUAGAUAUUGGGAGGAACACCAGUGGCGAAGGCGGCUCACUGGACCGGAACUGACGCUGAGGCGCGAAAGCGUGGGGAGCAAACGGG